AAGACGGUAGCUGAGUGGUUUAGCGUGCACUUUACACGUGUGAUACAAGAGUUCGAAUCUCUUUCGUCUUA
This 71-nucleotide transfer RNA is filed under the name Wallemia ichthyophaga. It matches the Rfam family "tRNA". From Rfam's summary of the family: Transfer RNA (tRNA) molecules are approximately 80 nucleotides in length. Their secondary structure includes four short double-helical elements and three loops (D, anti-codon, and T loops). The record is from Rfam by way of RNAcentral. Lineage: Eukaryota; Fungi; Basidiomycota; Wallemiomycetes; Wallemiales; Wallemiaceae. RNAcentral also lists the same sequence under 2 other names.